This 375-nucleotide RNase P RNA is filed under the name Thermothielavioides terrestris NRRL 8126. RNAcentral's name for it is "Thielavia terrestris NRRL 8126 Nuclear RNase P". It matches the Rfam family "Nuclear RNase P". Rfam says of the family: Ribonuclease P (RNase P) is a ubiquitous endoribonuclease, found in archaea, bacteria and eukarya as well as chloroplasts and mitochondria. Its best characterised activity is the generation of mature 5'-ends of tRNAs by cleaving the 5'-leader elements of precursor-tRNAs. Lineage: Eukaryota; Fungi; Ascomycota; Sordariomycetes; Sordariales; Chaetomiaceae. The record is from Rfam by way of RNAcentral.
UCCUCUUCAACGCUGCGUUUCUAUGCUACAAACGGAGAGCCUGCGCAAGCAGUGCUUUCAACACCUUCUAUUGGCAUAUGAGAAAUUCGGAGAAUCGGCUUCACUCUCUGGCUCGUCCGUCUGCGCCCUCGGGCGUUCCGACGGGUUGCGGGCUCUGCCGGUGACGGCUUGGCGCGAUAUCGCGUCUGUAAUUGGCAUCAGAAAAGCAGGGCCUGGGGCUGCCUCGUGCCUCGGCGUGUGGCAGCUCCCACGGUUCCUCUGGGAGAGCCGUUACGAAGCUUGUGGCCAGACACUUGAGUGCAAUACGCAGCGUGCGGUCCUGCCUCCUCUGGGGGUGGGCAUCACACAAUUCGAUUCCGAUUAUUCUGUUGAGGA